UUUGCCCCCCUCCCCCUAAUACCUGAAUGUUCUGUAGAACUGAAAUCCUUACCAGCUGCCCCACCAGCCAGGUGGCUGACAGGCGAGGCCCGGCCAGAGGUAGAGUAGUUUUUAACUUUAAAAAAGUUUUUUCCUUUAAACCUGAGUUCGGGCGUGGCCCCCACGCCAUCGGACAACCCCCAGAGAAGCUGAAAUUUCACAUGUCAGGAAUGAAAAGCUGAAUUCAUUCGUGUUUGCCAAGAAAAAAACGCACAAGCAAGCAAGAGAAAAACGAUAGAAGUGGGCAAAAGUCAUAAAAGCAAAAAAAGUGACUGUACAAAUGCACAACUAUUAAAAACUAACUCUGCUGCCCGACGCCUCUGCCUACCCCUUGCCCGACAGCUACACAGCCCUGAGGCCAGGU
Molecule: long non-coding RNA, 403 nt
Organism: Pipistrellus kuhlii (Kuhl's pipistrelle)
Lineage: Eukaryota; Metazoa; Chordata; Mammalia; Chiroptera; Vespertilionidae
Exons: 3
Source: RefSeq, a predicted model, not a curated record